This 474-nucleotide ribosomal RNA is filed under the name Vibrio azureus. Its description in RNAcentral is "bacterial SSU rRNA". It matches the Rfam family "Bacterial small subunit ribosomal RNA", at positions 59 to 529 of the family's 1533-position model. The record is from RNAcentral. Lineage: Bacteria; Pseudomonadati; Pseudomonadota; Gammaproteobacteria; Vibrionales; Vibrionaceae.
GUGCCAGCUACUGACUUCGGGGACGAUACGGCGUCAGCGGCGGACGGGUGAGUAAUGCCUAGGAAAUUGCCCUGAUGUGGGGGAUAACCAUUGGAAACGAUGGCUAAUACCGCAUGAUGCCUACGGGCCAAAGAGGGGGACCUUCGGGCCUCUCGCGUCAGGAUAUGCCUAGGUGGGAUUAGCUAGUUGGUGAGGUAAGGGCUCACCAAGGCGACGAUCCCUAGCUGGUCUGAGAGGAUGAUCAGCCACACUGGAACUGAGACACGGUCCAGACUCCUACGGGAGGCAGCAGUGGGGAAUAUUGCACAAUGGGCGCAAGCCUGAUGCAGCCAUGCCGCGUGUAUGAAGAAGGCCUUCGGGUUGUAAAGUACUUUCAGUCGUGAGGAAGGCGGCGUCGUUAAUAGCGGCGUUGUUUGACGUUAACGACAGAAGAAGCACCGGCUAACUCCGUGCCAGCAGACGCGGGAAUCAGGA